This 120-nucleotide ribosomal RNA is filed under the name Helianthus annuus (common sunflower). The record is from RNAcentral. Lineage: Eukaryota; Viridiplantae; Streptophyta; Magnoliopsida; Asterales; Asteraceae.
GGUUGCGAUCAUACCAGCACUAAUGCAUCGGAUCCCAUCAGAACUCCGCAGUUAAGCGUGCUUGGGGGAGAGUAGUACUAGGAUGGGUGACCCCCUGGGAAGUCCUCGUGUUGCAACCCC